GACGAACGCUGGCGGCGUGCCUAAUACAUGCAAGUCGAGCGGACGGAUGGGAGCUUGCUCCCAGACCGUCAGCGGCGGACGGGUGAGUAACCCGUGGGCAACCUGCCUGUAAGACUGGGAUAACUCCGGGAAACCGGGGCUAAUACCGGAUAACUCUUUCCCUCACCUGAGGGAAAGCUGAAAGAUGGCAUCUCGCUAUCACUUACAGAUGGGCCCGCGGCGCAUUAGCUAGUUGGUGAGGUAACGGCUCACCAAGGCGACGAUGCGUAGCCGACCUGAGAGGGUGAUCGGCCACACUGGGACUGAGACACGGCCCAGACUCCUACGGGAGGCAGCAGUAGGGAAUCUUCCGCAAUGGACGAAAGUCUGACGGAGCAACGCCGCGUGAGUGAUGAAGGUUUUCGGAUCGUAAAACUCUGUUGUCAGGGAAGAACAAGUACCGGAGUAACUGCCGGUACCUUGACGGUACCUGACCAGAAAGCCACGGCUAACUACGUG
Molecule: ribosomal RNA, 498 nt
Filed under: uncultured bacterium
Lineage: Bacteria
Description: partial 16S ribosomal RNA
Rfam family: Bacterial small subunit ribosomal RNA
Source: RNAcentral